RNAcentral lists this unclassified non-coding RNA (195 nucleotides) under plant metagenome. RNAcentral's name for it is "partial contains small subunit ribosomal RNA, internal transcribed spacer 1, and 5.8S ribosomal RNA". The record is from RNAcentral.
UCUCCGUUGGUGAACCAGCGGAGGGAUCAUUACCGAGUUUACAACUCCCAAACCCCUGUGAACAUACCAUUUGUUGCCUCGGCGGGGCCUGCUUCGGCAGCCCGCCAGCGGACCCAAACCCUUGAUUUUAUACAGUAUCUUCUGAGUAAAGGAUUAAAUAAAUCAAAACUUUCAACAACGGAUCUCUUGGUUCUG